UUCCGUAGGUGAACCUGCGGAAGGAUCAUUACACUCAGUAGUUUACUACUGUAAAAGGGGCUGUUAGUCUGUAUAGCGCAAGCUGAUGAGCAGCUGGCCUCUUUUAUCCACCCUUGUCUUUUGCGUACCCACGUUUCCUCGGCAGGCUUGCCUGCCGGUUGGACAAAUUUAUAACCUUUUUAAUUUUCAAUCAGCGUCUGAAAAACUUAAUAAUUACAACUUUCAACAACGGAUCUCUUGGUUCUGGCAUCGAUGAAGAACGCAGCGAAAUGCGAUAAGUAGUGUGAAUUGCAGAAUUCAGUGAAUCAUCGAAUCUUUGAACGCACAUUGCGCCCCUUGGUAUUCCAUGGGGCAUGCCUGUUCGAGCGUCAUUUGUACCCUCAAGCUCUGCUUGGUGUUGGGUGUUUGUCCUCUCCCUAGUGUUUGGACUCGCCUUAAAAUAAUUGGCAGCCAGUGUUUUGGUAUUGAAGCGCAGCACAAGUCGCGAUUCGUAACAAACACUUGCGUCCACAAGCCUUUUUAACUUUUGACCUCGGAUCAGGUAGGGAUACCCGCUGAAC
Molecule: ribosomal RNA, 560 nt
Filed under: Parastagonospora nodorum
Lineage: Eukaryota; Fungi; Ascomycota; Dothideomycetes; Pleosporales; Phaeosphaeriaceae
Description: eukaryotic LSU rRNA
Rfam family: 5.8S ribosomal RNA (bases 218-371)
Source: RNAcentral